Molecule: long non-coding RNA, 1937 nt
Filed under: Bos taurus (domestic cattle)
Lineage: Eukaryota; Metazoa; Chordata; Mammalia; Artiodactyla; Bovidae
Description: long non-coding RNA NONBTAT027050
Source: RNAcentral
UACACUCAGUAAGUGUUCCAUAUAAUCAGGUUUCUUGAGUAAAAUGGGCUGUCAGCAGCCAGCCUGUGUGAAGCACCUGUCACGUGUUGAACUAGAUGUUUCCUGCGUUAGGAACCAGGGGAUGCAUUCAUUCCUUGUUGAUCACUCAAAUAAAUGGCUCACUUCGUCAUGGUGGUAAGAUAGCCACCACGCCAAAAAUGCUGAUGGUUUUUAAUGCCAGGAAAAACUUGCCUGCAUACUCCGAGUUCUUCUCUGAUCUGUUGGAUGCAUUCUCCUAGGUCAAGCCUUCGUCUUCAGUUGUGUGUAUGAAAAUGCUUCUUGCUUUUUAAAUACUAGGGACCGAUCCCACUGUUGAUGAUAGUGCAAAGAAACCCUCCACGUCUCUCAGUGCAUAAUUUAGUCCUCUGUCAAUGCCUUCGUGUUUUCCGAGCAGAAUGUAUGAGGUGUGCCAUCUCAAAAUCAGCUGCUACCCCGGAUCUUUGAUAGAAGUCACCUCCCUUCACUUGUGGCCUAGCUGAUGCCUGAUAAGUAUUGUCAGUGUGCAGAAGUCUUGCCCCCAGAAUGUUUUGUUUAUAGCCAGUUGAGUCUGAAAAUUUUAGGAACACAGUCUCUUUGUGGAUGGAUGUUUUUAACUAUAAUCGUUGUUGCCCAGAGCCAUGGGUUUUUAAACCCCCAAUUAUCCACAUGGUGUGUCUUAUUAAUUCUUUGAACUCCUUAUUAGAAUAAAUUUUUGUGAUAAAGGACUGGGAAGUCACAAGAAUGAGGCACUGUGGACGCGCUAGUUAGACGCUGGCAGUAUUGUGAUUCUUUACAAGAUUUUUUUUAAUGACAACAUUCACAGAACUUUAAAAAAGUAUCUUAACAUGUCUGUUAAUUGGUUGCCACUGAUACAUAAGAAAUAUAUUUGUGCUUUUAAAACACAAAUGCAAGGGUACAGUUUUUAAUAUCUAGAAGUUAGGGGUUCUUUCAUUAAAGAAAAACAGACUGACCCAAACCAUUCAAUCUCACUGGGAUUUUUAGGCAUAGAAACUGAAUUAUAUAAAUAAUGAAAUAAACAGUGCCAGUAUUCAUGAUAAAGCGGGGAACUAUAUAACAUUUGGUUUUAUUCUGUUCAUUAAUUUUUAAAGGCAUACUCCUGUUUUAUCUUUUAUUUUUUUCUUAGCUUUUUUUUCCUUCAAAAUUAUCAUUUAACUAUUAAACUGCCAUUUAUUUCGCAUGGAAAUAGGGUUUAACGUUCUUGCAUGAAAAAUAUGUAAGUUGCAUAUUUUCCUUAUUUUUUUCUUUAAUAAGUGGAAGUAAAUUUGCUUGUUCUAGUACAUCUGAAUUUUCAGGCUUCCUGAAUACCUUAAUUGUAACUGUCAGUGUUGCACUGGUCAAUAUGUGGAAACAUAUUGUUCUACCCUGCUACUUACAUUUAUUUGAAAGUGAACUUGCAGUGAUAAGGAAUAUAUGAAAAAUAUAUUGUGUUUCUUUUGAUGUUGCAGAAAGUAGCACAUGUAAAACUGAUUUAUAAAAACACACUACCUGUCCAAAAAUAAAGACCAAAAUGACAUUUUGACAUUUUUCUGAAUUUGCCUUGUUUGAGAAACAGAAUAUUAUUAACUAGUUGAGCAAUACUCCCCCCACCUACCUACCUCGCAUGCUUUUUUUUUUUUAGAGCAGUCUGAUGUUUUGCUUAGUCUGUUAGUGAAACAGGAAAUAUGGAAAUAUCUUUCAAUUGAUUAAUUACUCUGUCAUCUUUUCUUUCUAGAAUAUUCUUUGUUUUAAUCAUGGAAUAGCAAGUUCAAUUGUGCCUUUGUUUCCUGAUCCAAACAAGCCUGUAUUUUUCACUUCACUAGAAUUACUGUGUAAGACAAAUGAAUACUUCUGUAAACUAUUGUGUAUGUGAAUUACAUAAUUAUACUCUAUAUCUUGUAAGCUAUUUUAAGAAAAAUUGG